RNAcentral lists this ribosomal RNA (572 nucleotides) under Saccharomyces cerevisiae (brewer's yeast). Its description in RNAcentral is "partial large subunit ribosomal RNA". It matches the Rfam family "Eukaryotic large subunit ribosomal RNA", at positions 62 to 648 of the family's 3401-position model. Lineage: Eukaryota; Fungi; Ascomycota; Saccharomycetes; Saccharomycetales; Saccharomycetaceae. The record is from RNAcentral.
AAACCAACCGGGAUUGCCUUAGUAACGGCGAGUGAAGCGGCAAAAGCUCAAAUUUGAAAUCUGGUACCUUCGGUGCCCGAGUUGUAAUUUGGAGAGGGCAACUUUGGGGCCGUUCCUUGUCUAUGUUCCUUGGAACAGGACGUCAUAGAGGGUGAGAAUCCCGUGUGGCGAGGAGUGCGGUUCUUUGUAAAGUGCCUUCGAAGAGUCGAGUUGUUUGGGAAUGCAGCUCUAAGUGGGUGGUAAAUUCCAUCUAAAGCUAAAUAUUGGCGAGGGACCGAUAGCGAACAAGUACAGUGAUGGAAAGAUGAAAAGAACUUUGAAAAGAGAGUGAAAAAGUACGUGAAAUUGUUGAAAGGGAAGGGCAUUUGAUCAGACAUGGUGUUUUGUGCCCUCUGCUCCUUGUGGGUAGGGGAAUCUCGCAUUUCACUGGGCCAGCAUCAGUUUUGGUGGCAGGAUAAAUCCAUAGGAAUGUAGCUUGCCUCGGUAAGUAUUAUAGCCUGUGGGAAUACUGCCAGCUGGGACUGAGGACUGCGACGUAAGUCAAGGAUGCUGGCAUAAUGGUUAUAUGCCGC